This 472-nucleotide ribosomal RNA is filed under the name uncultured bacterium. RNAcentral's name for it is "partial 16S ribosomal RNA". It matches the Rfam family "Bacterial small subunit ribosomal RNA", at positions 28 to 507 of the family's 1533-position model. The record is from RNAcentral.
GACGAACGCUGGCGGCGUGCUUAACACAUGCAAGUCGAACGCUGAAGCUUGGUGCUUGCACUGGGUGGAUGAGUGGCGAACGGGUGAGUAAUACGUGAGUAACCUGCCCUUGACUCUGGGAUAAGCCUGGGAAACUGGGUCUAAUACUGGAUACGACAUGCCACUGCAUGGUGGUGUGUGGAAAGGGUUUUACUGGUUUUGGAUGGGCUCACGGCCUAUCAGCUUGUUGGUGGGGUAAUGGCCUACCAAGGCGACGACGGGUAGCCGGCCUGAGAGGGUGACCGGCCACACUGGGCCUGAGACACGGCCCAGACUCCUACGGGAGGCAGCAGUGGGGAAUAUUGCACAAUGGGCGGAAGCCUGAUGCAGCGACGCCGCGUGAGGGAUGACGGCCUUCGGGUUGUAAACCUCUUUCAGCACGGAAGAAGCGAGAGUGACGGUACGUGCAGAAGAAGCGCCGGCUAACUACGUG